This 63-nucleotide transfer RNA is filed under the name Branchiostoma belcheri (Belcher's lancelet). RNAcentral describes it as "tRNA-Asp". The record is from RNAcentral. Lineage: Eukaryota; Metazoa; Chordata; Leptocardii; Amphioxiformes; Branchiostomatidae.
GAGGUGUUAGGUUAAUCAAACUUAUAGUUUGUCAUACUAUAAAUCCUAAAAUUUUAGGGCAGC